This 485-nucleotide ribosomal RNA is filed under the name Mucilaginibacter gynuensis. Its description in RNAcentral is "bacterial SSU rRNA". It matches the Rfam family "Bacterial small subunit ribosomal RNA", at positions 341 to 823 of the family's 1533-position model. The record is from RNAcentral. Lineage: Bacteria; Pseudomonadati; Bacteroidota; Sphingobacteriia; Sphingobacteriales; Sphingobacteriaceae.
ACGGGAGGCAGCAGUAAGGAAUAUUGGUCAAUGGAGGCAACUCUGAACCAGCCAUGCCGCGUGCAGGAAGACGGCCCUACGGGUUGUAAACUGCUUUUGUACCGGAAUAAACCUUUUCACGUGUGAGAAGCUGAAUGUACGGUAAGAAUAAGGAUCGGCUAACUCCGUGCCAGCAGCCGCGGUAAUACGGAGGAUCCAAGCGUUAUCCGGAUUUAUUGGGUUUAAAGGGUGCGUAGGCGGCUUAUUAAGUCAGGGGUGAAAGGCGGUAGCUUAACUAUCGGAGUGCCUUUGAUACUGAUGAGCUUGAAUGCAGCUGAGGUAGGCGGAAUGUGACAAGUAGCGGUGAAAUGCAUAGAUAUGUCACAGAACACCGAUUGCGAAGGCAGCUUACUAAAGUGCGAUUGACGCUGAGGCACGAAAGCGUGGGGAUCAAACAGGAUUAGAUACCCUGGUAGUCCACGCCCUAAACGAUGAAUACUCGAUGU